UACUGAGCCACCCAGGCACCCCAACUCAGAACUUUUUUUUUUUUUUUUGCAUGAUAUAAACUUCAUCUAUGUAAAAUCAUACUUAGUCAACAUGACCCUUCUCUCACCUUUAUUUUCCAGUUCUUCUGAAAAGUUCAUCAUCUGCAGGAUCGACAGACUCAAGUCUAGCCUUAGUCUAGCUAUGCUUCACUCACUUGGGAGCUGUGUGAGUUUCACCAAAGUACUUAAACUCUUGCCUGUUCCUCAUUCUGUGAAAGAAGGAAAGCAACAGCAGUCUCCUGCUACAGAGGCAAUCAGAUGAGAAAAUUGUGUGGGAAGCCCUUGUGGCAGUGCUUGGCCAAGUGAAGGGCCCCGGGGCAAUGCUCCAAGAAGGCGUGCUACAAGAGUAAGUGUGUGGGAAUAUGAGGAGUAGGAAGACUGCAGACCUUACCACUCAAUGGUGAGUGACGUGAGUUUGCUCCAGGCUCCAAAAUGUAUUUGAUGACAACAUAAUCUACAAGGUCAGGGGCCGCAGCUCUCCAACGGCUGAACAUGGGAUUCAGAAGGAUGCACAUCUCUCUGCGCAUCUUCUUACAGGACCCACGCUGAAGGACCUCGGGCUUCCACAACGUGAUCUAAUAGGGCUUCUGGCACGCAGAACUGUCACAUGAACUUCUGUCUACACCCUAUUGACCAAAGUGAGUCACAUGACCAAGCCCACCAAGGGAAGCGGCCUGGCGGGGAAGUAGACUCUGCCCCAGAAGGAAGGGAGCCUAGAGCCCUCCACGCUUCCAACAUCGGGCACUCUGCCACCUCCAUGAGACUACCACUGGCCCUGGACCUUCGUGGUUGCUGAGUUCACAUCUUGGUCAGGAGGAGCACAACUGGAAAUAACCGAAAUGGCUACCAGCUGAUGAAUGGAUGAACAAAAUGGAGUAUUAUUUAGCCAUAAAAAUGAAUACAGUACUGAUUCAUGCUAUAACAUGAAUGAGCUUUGAAAACAUUGUUCAAAGUAAAAAAAAAAAAAAGCCAGACACAAAAGACCACAUAUUGUAUGAUUUCAUUUAUAAGAAAUGACCAGAGUAAGCAAAUUUAUAGAGAUAGAAAGUAGAUUAGGAGGGGAUUAAGAGAUCAGGAGCUGGUUGGCAUUGCAAGAAGGAGAGAAUGGAGAGUGACUAAUGGGGUAUCUUUGGGAGGAUGGGGUGUGAAAAUGUCCCAGGAUCAAAUAGUUGUGACAGUUGCACAGCCUUGGGAAUAUACUAAAAUAACUGAAUUAUAUGCUUUAAAAGAUUCAAUUUUAUAGUAAUAGGAGCUAUAUCUCAAUUAAAAUAAAAAUUUUUUAAAAAAGCAUUCCAGAAAGCCACUCCUACAAACAGCUGGAAAGAACUAUACCCAGAAGUGCCUGCAAACUAAGUAAAUACAUCACACUGAACCAAAUUCACUGUAUCUUUGCUCUGACAUCCCUUUAGUCAGAUUCUGAAAUACCCUUAGCCACCACAUGAUACAAAAGGAUGGUGAUUGAGGGAAGUCAGGGUAGGAGACAUUCCUUUUACUUCUGCAAAUUUCACAAAUUCACAAAAGCAUAUGACCAAGUGAACACAUUGUCAGGGGUCCUUCCAGAGAGCCCUGAAGUUCAAGCGCCUCACUUAAUACUUCCAUGGUCAGUACACCCUGGCCCCACCAU
Molecule: long non-coding RNA, 1663 nt
Organism: Neogale vison (American mink)
Lineage: Eukaryota; Metazoa; Chordata; Mammalia; Carnivora; Mustelidae
Exons: 3
Source: RefSeq, a predicted model, not a curated record